GAUGAGCUCGCGUCUGAUUAGCUAGUAGGUGUGGUAAAAGCGCACCUAGGCGACGAUCAGUAACUGGUCUGAGAGGAUGACCAGUCACACUGGAACUGAGACACGGUCCAGACUCCUACGGGAGGCAGCAGUGGGGAAUUUUCCGCAAUGGGCGAAAGCCUGACGGAGCAAUACCGCGUGAGGGAGGAAGGCUCUUGGGUUGUAAACCUCUUUUCUCAAGGAAUAACUCAAUGAAGGUACUUGAGGAAUAAGCAUCGGCUAACUCCGUGCCAGCAGCCGCGGUAAUACGGAGGAUGCAAGCGUUAUCCGGAAUGAUUGGGCGUACAGCGUCCGCAGGUGGUGUUGUAAGUCUGUUGUUAAAGCGUGCGGCUUAACCGCAUACAGGCGAUGGAGACUACAAAACUAGAGUGCGUUAGGUGUAGAGGGAAUUCCUGGUGUAGCGGUGAAAUGCGUAGA
Molecule: ribosomal RNA, 456 nt
Filed under: uncultured cyanobacterium
Lineage: Bacteria; Bacillati; Cyanobacteriota
Description: bacterial SSU rRNA
Rfam family: Bacterial small subunit ribosomal RNA
Source: RNAcentral